CAGGGUUGAGGACCUCGACUCUGUACCUUCCUGUUCAAGGUGAGGUCUGUGGACCAACAGCAUCAGCUUGUUAGAAAUGCAGAAUCUCUUGUCCCAUCCUAGAUUGAUGAUUGAUGAAUCCAGAUGUGCACGUUAACAAAAUCGCCAGCUGAUUCCUUUACACCAUAAAGUUUGAAAAAUGCUCGUCUGCAGCAUCUUGCAUGGACUCGCAUAUGGAGAGAAUUGAGAAAAUGUCAUCUUAGCAUAUGUAUCGUGAAGUUGCCCUUCUACUGGAGUUCAGAAUCUUCUUGGUGGCAUAACAUAAGAGACAAUGAAAUGGACCAUAUGUCUAAAUACGGUAAAUGGGGAGAAUAUGGAGAAGCAAUUGAACAAAACAAAUCCAAAAGUGGGAAGUCCCCUUCUGGCAAGCGGCUGCAAGAAGACAGAACUGGUACUAGAAUGGAAACCUUGGGACUCCGGUUGCUGCAUAAAAAAAAAUAAUAAUAAUAAACAGAGGAACCAAAAUAAACACCCACAUCUCCAUGCCGGAGAGCAGAAGAGCAAGAAGUUGCCAAACAUUUUUUGUUUUGUUUUGCUAGAUUAUUUUUAUUCUCUAAAUCUAAGCUCCUAUAUUCCCCUUCUUCCCUGUUUCUGUAUGUUAGAAACUCAGUAUAAGUGGGGUGAAAAAAAAACAAAGGCUGGAUGCUUCAUUUACUGUCAACAGGGAUGUUUCAGAUCACUGUUAAACUAGAAGGGACUCAAAUGCUUUAGAAACAUCUCAUCACUCAAUUUAGCAACUUUCAUAUACUGUUGUUAGACUGCCAUGAACAAAAUGUGCAGGCCCCUCUACUUCUUCCAUCUCUCAUCAAGACUGUUUCCAUGUUACGAUAAAGUGAACACUAGAUACAGUGGAAAUAUUUCUAGGUCUGCCUGAUGAAUAAUACCCCAUUUCAUCAUCUGAGCCUUUAAGACACAGUAUUUCGUAAGGACUGUAUUAGAUGGGGCUGGGGGAGCUUCUUGUCCUGUGAAAACAAAUUCAUGCUAGGAGAGGCCAAUAAAGACAAUAAAAUUAAUAUUUAUUACAUGCUUACUAGGUGCCAGAGCGUCAAGGAAUACAUAAGUAUUAUCUUAAUUAAUCCUGAUAAUGAAUGCUUCUGCAAGAGAAUUAGGUAUUAAUAGUACGAUGAGGAACUUCUUAGAGAGGUUAAGUAAUUUGCCCAAGGUCACACAGUUAGUAAGUGGUGGAGCUAGGAGCUAAUCCAGGUCUAACACAGUAUCCACUCUCUUAAUCCGUAUACUUCAGGGUCACUUGAAAAACCAUAGCCUUGACUAGAUGGACCUUUGUUGACAAAGUAAUGUCUCUGCUUUUCAAUACACUGUCUAGGUUGGUCAUUACUUUCCUUCCAAGGAGUAAGUGUCUUUUAAUUUCAUGGCUGCAAUCACCAUCUGCAGUGAUUUUGGAGCCCAAAAAAAUAAAGUAUGACACUGUUUCCACUGUUUCCCCAUCUGUUUCCCAUGAAGUGAUGGGACCAGAUGCCAUACGUAUUAUAGAUUACAAAUUAAAAUUAUAGAUUGACAUUAUCAAAACAGUUAAACAUGGGACUUCACUGGUGGUCCAGUGGUUAAAACUCUGUGCUCCCAGGGCAGGAGUUCUGGGUUUGAUCCCUGGUUAGGGAACUAGAUCCCACAUGCCACAGCUAAGACCCAGUGCAGCCAAAUAAAUAAAAUGAAUACAAAUAAAUAUUAAAAACCACAAAGCAAAAUAACAGUUAAACAUGAAUUUGUGACACAUCAACAUAUGUCCUUCUAUAUGAACACGUAAC
This is a long non-coding RNA of Dama dama (fallow deer), 1802 nucleotides long. RefSeq lists it as uncharacterized. Lineage: Eukaryota; Metazoa; Chordata; Mammalia; Artiodactyla; Cervidae. The record is from RefSeq and is a predicted model, not a curated record. The transcript is spliced from 3 exons.